Molecule: ribosomal RNA, 327 nt
Filed under: uncultured eukaryote
Lineage: Eukaryota
Description: partial 18S ribosomal RNA
Rfam family: Eukaryotic small subunit ribosomal RNA
Source: RNAcentral
CCCUUAGAUGUUCUGGGCCGCACACGCGCUACACUGAAGGAGGCAGCGUGUACUCCUGGAUCGAAAGAUUUGGGUAACCCGCGAAUCUCCUUCGUGCUAGGGAUUGAGGUUUGCAAUUAUCCUUCAUGAACGAGGAAUUCCCAGUAAGUGCAAGUCAUAAGCUUGCGCUGACUACGUCCCUGCCCUUUGUACACACCGCCCGUCGCUACUACCGAUUGAAUGAUUUAGUGAGGACUUCGGACUGGGACCGAUGCGGCUUUCGGGCUGCGUCGGUAUUCUGGAAAGAUGUCCAAACUGUAUCGUUUAGAGGAAGUAAAAGUCGUANCA